CUUUUCUUUCAUUCUUCUGCAAGU
This 24-nucleotide small RNA is filed under the name Arabidopsis thaliana (thale cress). Its description in RNAcentral is "ATSL193030". Lineage: Eukaryota; Viridiplantae; Streptophyta; Magnoliopsida; Brassicales; Brassicaceae. The record is from RNAcentral.